Long non-coding RNA from Pipra filicauda (Wire-tailed manakin), 7058 nucleotides. RefSeq lists it as uncharacterized. The record is from RefSeq and is a predicted model, not a curated record. The transcript has 2 exons. NCBI's taxonomy places the organism in Eukaryota, Metazoa, Chordata, Aves, Passeriformes, Pipridae.
GGCGGCGGCGCGGCUGGGCCAUGCCGGUGGCGGCGGCGGCUGCUCCGCGCCCCGCGCUCCGCUCAGUCCGGCCCGACCCCGCACCGGGAGCGCGCGGCGCGUGCACGGCGGGGGCGGGCUGGGGAGGGGCCGCACCGCAGCACCCCUUCGCUGCCGCCGCGCUGGCCCGCACCGCCGCCCGGCACCGGCACCGGGCAUCCCACGGCCCCGCCGCUGCUCUGGCCGGGCCCGGUACCCCACGCCCCGGCACCUGCACCUCCCGGCUCGCUGCGCCGAGGGGAUGCCGCACCCGCCGAGCAUCGCGCAGUCCGGUACCGCGCCCUCCGGGUACCGGCACCAGCCGCGUCUGCACCCCCGCUGUCCCCGAACCCUGCCCUGCGCACAGCGCCGGCACUGCCCGGCUAUCGGUAUUCCCACCGUCCCGACCGGGACACCUGCACGCCCUGGGGCACCCCGAACCACCCUAGAAAACUGCCCUAUCUGUGGGGGCAUCCCGGCACGGCCCCGGACAUCCCGCACCAUCCCGGGCAUCCCAAAUCCUGCCCCACUGCAGCCUGUGUCUGUCCCAGUCACUCUGCAUGGGUCUCCUCCACACCCCACACACCCACAGCAGCUGGAGCGCCCUGCAGCCCCGGUGUAUUUCCCCACGGCCAGGGGAGGAGCCCCUGCUUCUCCUACUGCUCUGCAGUGCCCAGCGGGUCCAGGGAGGAUUCAGCAGGUACCUAGUGUGGGAUGCCACAACCCAGCCUCAGCCUUGGGGCCCGGUGCAGCCUCUGCCACCUGUCCAUUCCCUGCCGUGCACUGGGCUGCAGGGUAUCUUCCCCUCCCACUCACAGCCUCUCAGCAGGAGCCACCUCUCCCAGAGCCUGCCUCUGCCCAGAGCAAAGCCACCUCUCUGUUUCAGUCUGGCCUGAUGGGAUUACAGAAAUCAUUUGAAACAGGGCAAGGAUUUGGGUCCUGAUGGAUGUAUCUGGUUUCUGCCUCCCUCUGCCAUUGCCAAGGUAGCAUCAGCUGGGACGCCUCCACAGAGGAGACACUGCUUCCUGUUUGACAGGAGACGCUGUUUCCAGCUUGUGUGGCAGCAUGUGAAGGGUCGGCAGUUGUUUUAACUCUCCCACACGCCACUGGCACCUGCACUGACCCAGUGAACAUAAAAUGGCAGAGAGAUCUCUGCACCUCAGUGCAGGUUGGCCUUUAUCUUCCUCAGAGCCUUCCAGCUGCUGCUUCAGAGCUGGUCAGAGUUUUUCUGCCUCUCCUGCCCAGCUCCCUCUCCAAGGGACUGCUUGCUGGUGGUCAGCAGCUUGACUGUGUUGCUGGCCCGUUAUUCACAGGGUGAGCUGCAAGCUGCCAGCCUUUUGGCAGGCAACACGGUCCAGCACCAUGUGGGAUGGAUGCACAGCCCUGCUCUGUGCCCACUAGGUUCAUCGGCUCAGAGAAGCAUCUUGAAGGGGGCCCUGGACUGGUGCUGGGCUGCCCCUCAGCAGGCAUGGCUCCAGGCAUGGCUCCCUGGGUCCUGCUGCCCAGAAUAGGGUGAUGGUGCACGUCUGCAGUGGUGCCUUGUGGCCCAGUCCCCACCACGAGCACUGUGGGAGGGUUGGGUACUCAGCUGCUCCACUGCCAGCUUCAGCUGCUUGAGUGAGCAGUGAUCGAUUUUCUUGCACAACAUCAGCUCUGACAGUGCCUGACAAGACACCUCUGCCCAGGGCGGUCCACGGGGACCGUCUGUGCCAGGCUGCUGGGUGGGGUGGGUGCGUGGGGCACAGCAUGCUCCAGCCCACCCAUCAUCCCAAUGAGGCAAGAUUCGUGUAACCUCGGGUUUCUCCCCGCAUGCUGGGCACACCCCGUGUGGCAGCGCCUGCACACAGCACCUGAGGGCUCUGCCCAGGCGGCUUCUGGGGCUGGUCCCCAGCGUCAGGAAGGCCAGCAUCAAACGCACACUCACACACGCACACCCCACCCCCUUCCUGGACUGGUGGCCAGAGAAGGGCAGCUGAGUGCAUUACUCAAUGGGCAACGCGUAUUAAAAUGCCCCCGGUCGCCUCUGGCUCUGUCACAAGCAGCGUUUAGCCACGACUCGGAGAAGGAGCAGAAGGGCUGGAAGCUGUCAGACCUGCUUAAAACGGCCGCGGCUCAGUGCUAAUGUGCAGCACAGCAGCGGCAGCUGCAAGGCACACAGCCAGGCCAGGCAGAGCUCAGCUCCCCAGACAGCCCUGUGCUGUGACCAGGGCUUGCCCUGGUCCCCACGUCCCCCUGCAGUCUCCUGCACCCACUGGAAACCUCUGGACAGCCAUCCAGGGUCGCGUAGGAUCCUGGGGGCAGUGGCAGCCCUGGGUCUGUCACCACAACAGAGCUCCGGUGUCCUGCUCAUACCACACAGACCUGGACUGUCAAGCAGCAGACACAGCUGGGGGAAGCCUUUUGCCAGAGGAGGAGCAGGGCCAGCGCUGUCGCUGGGCCGUGCAAUAGAGAAUCCCGCGGCAGCAGGCACCUGGCCGGCAGGGAGGGACAUGUACAUCCCCUUUUCCCAGGGAGGUAGGGUGAUUCCUGGGAUGCCUUCACCUGAUCCCCGCGACCCUGAGGAGCACCCAGCUGGAGAUCAGCACCCGUGUUCUCCUGCUGCAGCACCCCAGUCCUGCCCCAGCUGCCGUGCAAGCGGCACCCACUGCACCCCUGCCCGGAUCCCCGCGGCUGUGCUGCCUUUGCCACCCCGCUCCGGCUGCUGCAGAGCCGCCCCCCUCCCACCUCCGGCGCGGCAGCGAUGCAGAAGGAGCAUCCAAGAUGCCGCUUGGCGCAGGCUCAGCUGCCUCCCGGGGCCGGCAGAGGAGGGGGCUGUCGGCCAUGACCGCACACACCACGAAAAGGGGCAUGUUCUAGGCAGGGGCAGUGCCCAGUGUCCCCAGGCUAUGGCUCCGCUGGCGCCGGGGCGCUCCCUGUCCCCACCCUCGGCAGGAUGGGGGAACACAGCCCUGCUCCAUCCGCAGCCGUGGGUCCCUCGGAACAGGGUCCAGCUGACACUGCCAGGGCCCAGAGCAGGGCUGCCACCUCUGGAGUCAGUGAGCACGGGCUGCAGGCAGGCAGAGCCCCUGGAGCAGAUGAGGACCCAGCAGCCAGCUCCGGGCUGGGCCCCAGCCUGAUCUUCAUGGAAAGGGACAAGCAGGGACGCACACACAUCUGUCCUCAGGAAUGAGUGAGUCCUCUCCACCAGGCCUGGCCAGCAACACUUUCCAGGGCACCUGCGGCCACAUGGCAGGAGCCUGGCAGACGUGCAGGGGCAACACAGUUUGGACAGGAGCAGGGCACAGCGGGCGGUGGUGCCAGGCCACACAGCUGCCCCAGAGAACUGCCCCACACCUGCUCCCAGGGAGGAAAGGGCUCAGCUUGCCUUCAUGCUGUGGCCUACCCUACAGAACUGUGUGCCCUCAGAUGAAGAUUCAGUGCAGCUCUUUGCUGAGUCCUUGUGAGCCUCACUGUAUCCUACACAGAUGGGACAGAAGGCAGUGCUGGUCAAGAAAAGCUACCACAGGGACCACAGAACAAACUGAUGAGGAAGAACCAAAGAUGGAAGAAAGGUGGUGGUGGCUUCCAGGUUCAAUAAAGAGCACAGAGCACUAGGAGCAGACCCCAUGCCAGCAGGCUGCACUAGCCAGGUCAGAAGUUGAGAAUGCGGCAUGUUCCCAUGCAGAGAAAGCAGUGGGGCUGUCAAGAAGGAGUUAACAGAGGAGCCUUGGUGCUCAUCAGCCAAACCUUGCUGUGAUGGGGAACAAGAAGCAGUACUGUGAGUGCACUUGGUCUGCAGCUCCUCCUGGACUGCAGAGGUAAUGAGCUGAGAUCUCAGUAACUGCUGUGGUGGGAAAGCUGGGCUUCUUAGAGCUCAGAAUUACCCUGCAACAGAACUUCCUCUUUACUUUAUACCUCUGUCCUGGUGGAACAUGCCACAGACUGCCAGUAAAGCUCUUAAUCAACAUAUAAAUCCUACAAAGCUUGCACAAACCCUUGCACGUAUGCGAACAGUAGCUUAUGAAACAAACAGGGAAGAAGGGCUUUCCUUCCCAAACCAAAUUGUUUAGCCUUCACAAACGCUGAAAAUGCAGACAUAAGUCCUAUUGAGAAAGAGAUAAAGACCAUGUGUGGAGGUGCUGCUUGGCUGUACUGGGAGGAGUGCUGAGGAGGAAAGGCAGGCUCUGAAUACACACUCAGUUUGCAAAGUAAGCUCUCUGUAUUCAUCCGAGAAUGUCUGCAGUAUGGAGUUCAUCUGGUAUAAAUAAAGUACAAAAUUUUACAAUGUCUUAAUCAUUAUUUUAACAAAAAUACUAAAAACUGAGUAAAAACUGAAACCAAAGUGGGAAGGGAGACUAUCAGCCACAAGGGAUCUCCAUAAACAUUUGUAGAAAUUGGAUAGUAAAAACACUUUCUCUGUACAAUAAAACCCUCCUCCUAGCAUCUCCCUGUGAGAACAGACAGCAGCAGCACUGGAGGCACAGGCCCAAGGACAGAGGUUGGGACUGCCCCAGGGGUUGUGGGUCAGGCUGAAGAGGCUGUAUACAUCCAUCCACAGUGAUGUCUCCCUCCUGGAUCAGGCUGAAGGUGCCACAGAUCAGUAGCGUCCAAAUGGGUUGUUGUUCUGCUGUGUCUGUGUAUCUGUUGAGGUCAAGACAGAGUUAGACAAGUCACAAGUUUAGUUCACACAAGAAAUCCCCCUCCCUACCAAAGCUGAAUGAGGAGUGUGUCACAGCCCAUGAGAAGAAAAAAUAUAACUCUGCUCUGCACAUCUGUCUGAGCCUUUGGGCAGCAGCACAGCCAGGAUCCCACAUUCUCUGAGGAAGACACAGAUAUGUGCCAGUCCUGAUCCUGAUGCUUCUCCAGAGAUCUCUGUGUCUCUCAUGGUAGAAUUGGAGGACCGUAACACAGCCCUGAAAGGAGGCAGCUAGCUGGGAGGAUGAGUUUAUGGAUUAAUUAUUUCUGGUUUUAAAAGAAAAUCAGCCCUAUAAGACUGCACAACUCCUGCAGCCAUACAAAGCUGCUCAGCCAGCUAGUGUCACUCAUCCUAAGGCACACAGGAACCAGAGUUAGGCUUCAGAGACAAUUAUCCUGGCUCCCUGUCAGUAUCUCAGUACAAAUGAAGUACAGCCCCAAAGGACUUCCAGAUGGCACAAAAAAAGGCAGGAAAAAAAGUAAAGUUACAUUCAAGAACUUCAUGAACUUCCGAACUGCUGGGACUGAUGUUCUGUGAUUUAUAGAGCUCACAGUAUACCUGAGCACCAGUUUGGGUUUUUUUCCCAAAACCACAUCAACAUGUUUGACAUUAAAUCAGACUAAGUAAAAGGAGAUGAGUGUAACCUGGCUGGCCUGCCACCUUCCCAACUCUGCUGGAUGUUCAGGUAUUCCCUGGAGCCUCCUAAUGCAGCCUAUCCUGGGCCCAAAGUACUCUUGUCCCCUCCUAAAGGCUGCUCUUGGUUUACACCUCCUGUUUUCCACUCCACCCCAGAUACUACAAAUAAGAACUCCAGAUGCUUCCAGGGGGAGUUGAUGCAAACCCAAGAAAGCAGCAUGGAAAGCUGCCUGCUGACACAUGGCUGCACUGGACCCACACAUCUGCUCCAUUUACAACAGCUCCGUUUGCUGAAGAGACAGGAUACAAAAAUAUGGCUAUUCUGCUAUAUUCAGAUUCUUCUAUGAGGCCUUCCUACACUUGAGUGUCCUGCUGGGAUCUUUUGGCACAGACCUGUGGUUUGUGAAUCAGGCUAGUGGGAAACUUAGCAUAUUAAAACUCAUUAAUACUUCUGGUUUGGGGAGUUUUUUUUGGUCACAAGGACUAAGGAUUUUCCAUCAGGGAACAAGUAUAAGCACAAUUUCCAAGUCUCCCACUCCACACAUCACCACAUCCGGCACAGUCUCACACUCACUGCAAAAAAAACCCAACUGUGUGGUCCAUUUCUGGGCAUUUCCGCCAUUUUUAUGGCAGAAAAGCCCGUGAGGUGACAGAAGACAGUGACAGCAGGCCAUUCAAAAUGGAACAGCAGAGACAUUGGAUUCUGUUUCUUGAUCCUCCAGCCAGUAAUUCAAUAUAGAUUAUAGGAAUACAGUGACAGAUUGAACACCAUCUAUGUCAUUACCCUGUCAUGACAGCAGCCAUGAAAGCCCACAGACCACCACGAACACAGCAAGUGUGCAACUACACUUCCCAGAGUACCCUUCCUGCCUCCAAGAAGUCUUGUCCUGCUCACAACACAACCACAGUAUCCCUGGGUCAUCCACCAAGUGAGUGCUCCAGGAUUACACCCUUCCUGUGCCCCUCAGAGGUCACCUGCAGCAGAGAAAACACCCCCAAACAAUUUAAAGCUGCACACCGGAUCCCUUCAGGAAAGCUAUGUGGCAGUCCCUACAAAGGCUCAGCUCCCUCAUCCCUCUGCAGGCAGCAGGAGGAAGGUCUGGAAGGUUGCUCACAAGCUGGCAAGCACUGCCCACCCUGCUGCUGUGCCCCUUGGGCUGGUAGCUCUAAUUCUUGAUGUCACCUCCCUGCCAGCAUCACUUAUGGCCUCAGACAGACGGUCUGGCUCAGCCUUGCUACAUCAGAGUACCUGCAAUAGAAAACAGCAGGGAGGACACUAGCAACAGGAUCAAGAACACUCAGGCUUACUGGAAAGCUGCUGCUGAAGCUGUCGAACCAGAGCAGCUGUUUGCUGCUGCUGCUGUGUCUGCUGAAGGCCCUGGCGCUGGAACUGCAAAGAGAGAAACACAGUCAGAGCCACACCACCUGUCUGGCAGCCUCAGCAUUCACACAAGCCCUGGGAAGCUCAGGGAAGGAGAAAGCAGGUUCCUAAAUUACCCAAGUUUCACCAGGACUCUGCCCUAGGCUGAGAAAUAGCAAGAAAUAUAGGGACAGCAACAAAGUAUUCUGCAAGAUGAGUGCUGACAGAUGGCAGGAAGAGGACUCCCUGUCAUAACCUGGUCAUUACCAGGAGCAAACGAGGUACAAGAAUAGAAAGCAACUAAGAACUCAAGAGGUUGGCUGGUUCAUCUCUUGCCUCCUAGUUAAGAUCAAUACUGACUUCACUGAG